Schistosoma mansoni is the source of this 46-nucleotide non-coding RNA. The record is from Rfam. NCBI's taxonomy places the organism in Eukaryota, Metazoa, Platyhelminthes, Trematoda, Strigeidida, Schistosomatidae.
GCACUGGUUAGGAGUCCCAAAAUAGGACGAAACGGCCGUCCAGUGC